This 433-nucleotide ribosomal RNA is filed under the name uncultured bacterium. RNAcentral's name for it is "partial 16S ribosomal RNA". It matches the Rfam family "Bacterial small subunit ribosomal RNA", at positions 29 to 507 of the family's 1533-position model. The record is from RNAcentral.
AACGAACGCUGGCAGCAUGCCUAACACAUGCCAGUCGAACGAGACCUUCGGGUCUAGUGGCGCACGGGUGCGUAACGCGUGGGAACCUGCCCUUAGGUUCGGAAUAACUCCCCGAAAGGGGUGCUAAUACCGGAUAAUGUCUUCGGACCAAAGAUUUAUCGCCUUUGGAUGGGCCCGCGUUGGAUUAGCUAGUUGGUAGGGUAAAAGCCUACCAAGGCGACGAUCCAUAGCUGGUCUGAGAGGAUGAUCAGCCACACUGGGACUGAGACACGGCCCAGACUCCUACGGGAGGCAGCAGUGGGGAAUAUUGGACAAUGGGCGAAAGCCUGAUCCAGCAAUGCCGCGUGAGUGAUGAAGGCCUUAGGGUUGUAAAGCUCUUUUACCCGGGAUGAUAAUGACAGUACCGGGAGAAUAAGCUCCGGCUAACUCCGUG